RNAcentral lists this ribosomal RNA (254 nucleotides) under uncultured bacterium. RNAcentral's name for it is "partial 16S ribosomal RNA". It matches the Rfam family "Bacterial small subunit ribosomal RNA", at positions 524 to 776 of the family's 1533-position model. The record is from RNAcentral.
UACAGAGGUCCCGAGCGUUGUUCGGAUUCAUUGGGCGUAAAGGGUGCGUAGGCGGUUUGCUAAGUUUGAUGUGAAAUUCCGGGGCUCAACCCUGGCAUGGCAUUGAAUACUGGCGGACUAGAGUACUGGAGAGGAAACUGGAAUUUACGGUGUAGCAGUGAAAUGCGUAGAGAUCGUAAGGAAGACCAGUGGCGAAGGCGAGUUUCUGGACAGUAACUGACGCUGAGGCACGGAAGGCCAGGGGAGCAAACGGG